Molecule: ribosomal RNA, 256 nt
Filed under: uncultured bacterium
Lineage: Bacteria
Description: partial 16S ribosomal RNA
Rfam family: Bacterial small subunit ribosomal RNA
Source: RNAcentral
UAAUACGGAGGAUGCAAGCGUUAUCCGGAUUUAUUGGGUUUAAAGGGUGCGCAGGUUGUUUGACAAGUCAGUGGUGAAAGUCUGCCGCUUAACGGAAGGAUUGCCAUUGAUACUGUUGGACUUGAGUAUGGAUAAGGUAUGCGGAAUGUGUAGUGUAGCGGUGAAAUGCAUAGAUAUUACACAGAACACCGAUUGCGAAGGCAGCAUACUGGGCCAUUACUGACGCUGAGGCACGAAAGCGUGGGGAUCAAACAGG